Molecule: ribosomal RNA, 396 nt
Filed under: uncultured bacterium
Lineage: Bacteria
Description: partial 16S ribosomal RNA
Rfam family: Bacterial small subunit ribosomal RNA
Source: RNAcentral
AUACGUAGGGGACGAGCGUUGUCCGGAAUUACUGGGCGUAAAGGGCGCGCAGGCGGUAUAUCAAGUCAGCUGUCAAAGACUGGGGCUCAACCUUGGUAUGCGGUUGAAACUGAUAUGCUGGAGUGCUGUAGAGGCAAGUGGAAUUCCCAGUGUAGCGGUGAAAUGCGUAGAUAUUGGGAAGAACACCGGUGGCGAAGGCGACUUGCUGGGCAGCAACUGACGCUGAGGCGCGAAAGCCAGGGGAGCAAACGGGAUUAGAUACCCUGGUAGUCCACACUGUAAACGAUGAAUGCUAGGUGUAGGGGGUAUCGACCCCUUCUGUGCCGCAGUCAACACAAUAAGCAUUCCGCCUGGGGAGUACGGCCGCAAGGUUGAAACUCAAAGGAAUUGGCGGGG